GGUGUGGAUAGGGGAGAAAUUCCAAUCGAACCCGGAGAUAGCUGGUUCUCCUCGAAAUAGCUUUAGGGCUAGCCUCGUAUUAGUUUAGCGGAGGUAGAGCACUGAAUUCCUAAGGGGGCGUCAAAGCUUACCAAGGGAUAUCAAACUCCGAAUGCCGCAUAAAUGAUGUAUGGGAGUCAGACUGCACGAGAUAAGUUGGGUAGUCAAAAGGGAAAGAGCCCAGACCUACAGCUAAGGUCCCAAAGUGUGUGUUAAGUGGAAAAGGAUGUGGGAUUUCAAAGACAACUAGGAUGUUGGCUCAGAAGCAGCCACACAUUCAAAGAGUGCGUAAUAGCUCACUAGUCGAGAGGUCCUGCGCCGAAAAUGUCCGGGGCUGAAACACAACACCGAAGCUUAGGAAUGUAUGUAAGUACAUUGGUAGAGGAGCAUUCUUAAAGGGGUGAAGCAGUACCGAUAAGGAGCUGUGGACUUUUAAGAAGAGAGAAUGCCGGAAUGAGUAGCGAGAUGGAGGUGGGAAUCCUCCAGGCCGAAUAUCCAAGGUUUCCAGAGUAAAGCUGAUCUGCUCUGGGUAAGUCGGGGCCUAAGGCGAGGCUGAGAGGCGUAGUCGAUGGACAACAGGUUGAAAUUCCUGUACCAUGUAUCAUCAGAACUGUGGGGACACAGAAGGACAACACAUCCCGGGAAUGGGAAUACCGGGGCAAGCGUAGGAGGAGUCAGGUUGGCAAACCCGCCUGGCAAUCCAAAGACGUGACGCGCAGCGAACUAAAGUAGCGAAGUGUGUGAUUCCGGCUGUCAAGAAAAGCCGCUAUUGUGUGAUACAUGCCCGUACCGUAAACCGACACAGGUAGAUGAGGAGAGAAUCCUAAGGCCGGCGGGAGAAGCAUUGUUAAGGAACUCGGCAAAAUGACCCCGUAACUUCGGGAGAAGGGGUGCCACAGAGAUGUGGCCGCAGAGAAUAGGCUCAAGCAACUGUUUAGCAAAAACACAGGUCUAUGCAAAACCGUAAGGUGAGGUAUAUGGGCUGACGCCUGCCCGGUGCUGGAAGGUUAAGAGGAGAGGUUAGCGCAAGCGAAGCUUUGAAUUUAAGCCCCAGUAAACGGCGGCCGUAACUAUAACGGUCCUAAGGUAGCGAAAUUCCUUGUCGGGUAAGUUCCGACCCGCACGAAAGGCGUAAUGAUUUGAGCGCUGUCUCAACAAUGCACCCGGUGAAAUUGAAAUACCAGUGAAGAUGCUGGUUACCUGCGCCAGGACGGAAAGACCCCAUGGAGCUUUACUCCAGUUUGAUACUGGGAUUCGGUAUUGCAUGUACAGGAUAGGUGGGAGGCUUUGAAACAUGGACGCCAGUCUGUGUGGAGCCAAUGUUGGGAUACCACCCUUGCGAUAUUGGGUUUCUAACCUGCGCCCGUGACCCGGGCGGGGGACAAUGUCAGGCGGGGAGUUUGACUGGGGCGGUCGCCUCCGAAAGGGUAUCGGAGGCGCUCAAAGGUUCCCUCAGGAUGGUUGGAAACCAUCCAAAGAGUGCAAAGGCAUAAGGGAGCUUGACUGCGACACCGACGGGUGGAGCAGGUACGAAAGUAGGACUUAGUGAUCCGGUGGUAUGAAAGUGGGAUUGCCAUCGCUCAACGGAUAAAAGCUACCCUGGGGAUAACAGGCUUAUCACUCCCAAGAGUUCACAUCGACGGAGUGGUUUGGCACCUCGAUGUCGGCUCAUCGCAUCCUGGGGCUGUAGUAGGUCCCAAGGGUUGGGCUGUUCGCCCAUUAAAGCGGUACGCGAGCUGGGUUCAGAACGUCGUGAGACAGUUCGGUCCCUAUCCGGCGCGGGCGUAGGAUAUCUGAGAGGAGCUGUCCUUAGUACGAGAGGACCGGGAUGGACAGACCGCUGGUGUACCUGUUGGCUUACCAAGGCCAUGGCAGGGUAGCCAAGUCUGGACGGGAUAAACGCUGAAGGCAUCUAAGCGUGAAGCCCCCCUCAAGAUGAGAUAUCCCAUCGCGAAAGCGAGUAAGACCCCUUGAAGACGACGAGGUAGAUAGGUUAGAGGUGGAAGUGCAGUAAUGUACGGAGCUGACUAAUACUAAUCGGUCGAGGGCUUAUCCAG
RNAcentral lists this ribosomal RNA (2096 nucleotides) under human gut metagenome. RNAcentral's name for it is "bacterial LSU rRNA". It matches the Rfam family "Bacterial large subunit ribosomal RNA", at positions 808 to 2925 of the family's 2925-position model. The record is from RNAcentral.